This 877-nucleotide long non-coding RNA is filed under the name Carica papaya (papaya). RNAcentral describes it as "long non-coding RNA (CPAP_LNC015589)". The record is from RNAcentral. Lineage: Eukaryota; Viridiplantae; Streptophyta; Magnoliopsida; Brassicales; Caricaceae.
UUUCUUUUUUUUUUUUUUGCAGAGGUGCUUAGUAUGUGGUUUUCUAUGAUCUUUUGGAAACAGAUAUUAGCUGUUACCUUUACAAUUAUCUACAUUUUUUUUGGAAGGAUUUUAGUCACAUGGUUGUUUAAGCUGUAUGUUAUUUUACUUCUGUAUUCUAGUGCGUAGAAACUUAUAUUUUCUGCAUCAAUAAUUCGCACCAGUAUUCAUUUUGAACAAGAUUUUUAAAGUUUUGAGAGUCAAACUAUAGAUACUAAGCUAUGGUACUUUACCCUACUUGCAUGAUGUUCUUAGACCUGAUGGGUUAUCAGUAUGCACCAUUUGUUCUAUUUAGGUGAGAUGACUCUCCCCAAUUUGCCCUGUGAUUCUGAAGCCCUAAUUACCUCGCAUAUUGUGUCUUUUGUUUUAGGGUUUUAGAGCAUUAUAUUCUUAGUUUGUAUAUUUUGUAUAGAGAUGGACAAAGUAGAUUAUGUAGUGGGUGUGAGUAGAAAAUUAUAAAGACAGGAAUGGAUUAUGAGAUGACUGAGUUUGGUAAUACACGUCCAACAUGUGCCCUGCAUGCCCUUAUAUAUAAUAAAUUUGUUAUUUUAUGUUUAAUUUUAUUCAUAUUAAUUACGUUUUGGUAAAUAAAUAUCUAAUAUUAUAUAUUUAUAUUAUUAUUUUAUAUUUAUCAUUGAAUGAAUUGUUUUUAGAUAUUUUUUAAAUUAUAUUUUAUUUUGAUUAACAUUUGAUAUUUUUAAUUAACAGGUACCUAUUCAGUUAAACACACUUCUACAUAUUUAGUAUAAUGUGUAAUAGUUUAUUUAGAUUCAAUUAUGUCUAUUUCGGAUGAUAUUCUAACUAUGUUUAAAGUCUACGUUUCAUUCAUAUGAUCUCG